GCUGGCUUAGCUCAGUGGCAGUAGCGAAUCCUUUACACGGAUUAGGUCACAGGUUCGACCCCUGUAGCUAGCA
Molecule: non-coding RNA, 73 nt
Organism: Moesziomyces antarcticus
Lineage: Eukaryota; Fungi; Basidiomycota; Ustilaginomycetes; Ustilaginales; Ustilaginaceae
Source: the annotation of a RefSeq genome assembly